GCCGCAUGGCUCGGUGGGAAAAACUCCGGUGGUAUGAGAUGGACCCGCGUCUGAUUAGGUAGUUGGUGGGGUAACGGCCUACCAAGCCAACGAUCAGUAGCCGACCUGAGAGGGUGACCGGCCACAUUGGGACUGAGACACGGCCCAAACUCCUACGGGAGGCAGCAGUGGGGAAUAUUGCACAAUGGGGGAAACCCUGAUGCAGCGACGCCGCGUGAGCGAAGAAGUAUUUCGGUAUGUAAAGCUCUAUCAGCAGGGAAGAAAAUGACGGUACCUGACUAAGAAGCACCGGCUAAAUACGUGCCAGCAGCCGCGGUAAUACGUAUGGUGCAAGCGUUAUCCGGAUUUACUGGGUGUAAAGGGAGCGUAGACGGCUGUGUAAGUCUGAAGUGAAAGCCCGGGGCUCAACCCCGGGACUGCUUUGGAAACUAUGCAGCUAGAGUGUCGGAGAGGUAAGUGGAAUUCCCAGUGUAGCGGUGAAAUGCGUAGAUAUUGGGAGGAACACCAGUGGCGAAGGCGGCUUACUGGACGAUGACUGACGUUGAGGCUCGAAAGCGUGGGGAGCAAACAAGAUUAGAUACCCUGGUAGUCCACGCCGUA
Molecule: ribosomal RNA, 600 nt
Filed under: uncultured bacterium
Lineage: Bacteria
Description: bacterial SSU rRNA
Rfam family: Bacterial small subunit ribosomal RNA
Source: RNAcentral